AUUUUUUUCUAUUUUUUCUCUUAUUCUCAGAUUUUCUUAUUUAUAGAUGAAUUUUUCAUCUUUUUUUGGUAGCAAACGGAGUCCUAAAACCCCUCAAAAUCAUGUUAAACUUGUGUCCCUUAAUUCUGACCAUUGGAUCUUGUUUGGACCACCCAGAUCGCAUCAAAAAUCAUAGUUUAUUUCCUUAUCUUGAUCGAGAUCAAUAUUAGCCAUUGGAUUGCAUGAUAGAUUUAAUUUCGAUCGUUGAUCAGCGUACAGGACCUCCUAUUCACAGUCAAGAUCGAUACAGACCGUUGGAUCGGGCGAUAGAUCUAUUUUGGACUGUCGGAUGGCAUAAAGAAUCCUUCAUCAUUUUAGUUUUCAGCCGGCAACCAACACAGACUGUCAGAUCUCACUCAAGAUCGAUUUGGGCCGUCGGAUGCGCACUGGAAGUGGGCCACCACUGAAGCAUAUGGGAAAGCGCAUCUUGGACCAUUCGAUCACAUGUUUGGCGUGAUCUCAACCAUCCAAUUGUACAAAAAUGAGCUGUCCGUUUGUGAACCACAUCGUGCACUGCGAUCUAUGCUUGUGGACCACGCCCUUGAUUCUGUGGACCGAGCCACGGUCCACCGUACACCGAAGGCUAUUAAAAAUAAAUUUUGGAGGUAUUUUGGCUUGAAUUUGCUCAAAUUUUAUGUCUAAAAAAUAAAAAAUAAAUAAAUAAAAUUAUUUAUUCAUUCUUCAAUUAUUUUGAUGCUUAAAUUAUUCAAUUAGCUUAAUAUUUAUUUUUUAUAAAUAUACUCUAAUUUUAUAUUUUUAAAAUUAUUUAUUUUUAUAAAAAAAUUUAAUUUAUUUAUGAAAUUAGAUUUUUUUAGAAAAUUUUGAUAUCAUUAAUUAUCAAAAAUAUCUAAAAUAAAUGUAAAGAUAUCUUAUCAGUUUAUCUUAAGAUAUUUGUAUCAUCAUCUUAUCUGGAGGGAACAAAAUAAAAAAUCUCUGUCAUUUAGAAGAGAAAAGUUUUAAGAUGGUCAGAAAUGUUCUCAUAAAUAUAAAUUUUUAUUUUACCAUCCCAUACCGGGGAAAGAAAAGAUUUGUCUUUGAUAAACUUUCUUUCACUUUCCUAUCGAGCAAACAAAGUUCUAAUCUUUCUGGACUAUCAAUUAUCUGAUAUAGAAGAUUCUCUUUACUUAUCUAAAAAAAAAGAAAGGAUUCUCUUUGAAACUUUCUUAUCCUCUUGAAGAGUGAGAAAAGAAACUGAAAUCCUUA
This 1242-nucleotide long non-coding RNA is filed under the name Elaeis guineensis (African oil palm). RNAcentral's name for it is "long non-coding RNA (EGUI_LNC021111)". Lineage: Eukaryota; Viridiplantae; Streptophyta; Magnoliopsida; Arecales; Arecaceae. The record is from RNAcentral.